RNAcentral lists this ribosomal RNA (406 nucleotides) under uncultured prokaryote. Its description in RNAcentral is "bacterial SSU rRNA". It matches the Rfam family "Bacterial small subunit ribosomal RNA", at positions 355 to 776 of the family's 1533-position model. RNAcentral also lists the same sequence under 1 other name. The record is from RNAcentral.
UGGGGAAUAUUGGGCAAUGGGCGAAAGCCUGACCCAGCAAUGCCGCGUGAAGGAAGAAGGCCUUCGGGUUGUAAACUUCUUUUACCGAGGACGAAGAAAUGACGGUACUCGGCGAAUAAGCUCCGGCUAACUACGUGCCAGCAGCCGCGGUAAUACGUAGGGAGCAAGCGUUAUCCGGAUUUACUGGGUGUAAAGGGCGCGUAGGCGGGAUGGCAAGUCAGAUGUGAAAUCUCAGGGCUCAACCCUGAAACUGCAUUUGAAACUGUCGUUCUUGAGUACUGGAGAGGUUGACGGAAUUCCUAGUGUAGCGGUGAAAUGCGUAGAUAUUAGGAGGAACACCAGUGGCGAAGGCGGUCAACUGGACAGAAACUGACGCUGAGGCGCGAAAGCGUGGGGAGCAAACAGG